GGCCUGCCAGGACCCAGAGGGAGCGGAGCACGCGCCUUUGGGAAUCUUCGGUGCGCCAAGUCUGUUCGCCGCCGGGGUCUAUCACCCCCGCCCCUCGCCUCUGCCCGUGAGCGUGUGAGUUGUAGCGUACCCUGGGGUCUGUUCUGGAGGAGGCCUGAGAGCGGGGUUGCCUGGGGCGUGGGUCUCUCAUCCCUCUCGUCCUGGUGAAGAAGAAGAGUAUACCCAGCGGGAAUCUUGGUACCAAUAAUUGCAGAGGUAGAAGUCAGAGAAUGGCCUGUCCAGAAGACAGCCAAAUACAUCCUUCAAACAGACUUCACUGCAGGAGACAGAGUGGAUUCAUCCUGUAUUCUCCAUGUAGACUUCCAUCUUCAUGAGUACUCCAAGAAGAUGGUUCAGUUGACUAUUGCAAAGGUAAAAAUCCAAGAGAUACAGAUACAGAAUAGGACAGAGAGACAUAUUUUUAAGCUAUUGAUUACAAUUAUGGUAUGCCUAUAGAUUGCAGAACCGAGGAGAAAGGGAACAUUAUGAUUUACCAUCAAGAAAAACUUAGAAUUGGUGCUGAGUAGUUCAUUCUAAGAAUUACCAUUUAUCUGUAUUUGCCCCCAUUUUCAUUGUUACUAGGCCAAAAGUCAUUUCAUAAUUAAUAAGUUGGAUGUCAAAAUCAACUUGUGUUAUUAUAAAAUUAGCAAUCUACAUUAUGUGUUUCUUUACAUUUUUAUAGGAGUAUUUAUAAAUAUACCUAAGAAAACUGACAAUGUGGAGUACAAAUGUUGCAUUUUCAAAACUGGGAAUCUGUUUAUUGAGGCUCUAUUUUUAGUUAUGUAUGAUAAUAGACUGCAUUUCAGGUUUCAAACCUUGUAAAAAUAAUUUCCUUAUGAUAUGUUUACUCAUUUUGCAAAUAAUUAUUGUGUCAUAUAGCAAGAGAUUGUACUUCCAUUCAGCUGGUUAAAGUACAAAAUCAUUGAUAUGGUUUGGCUGUGUCCCCACCCAAAUCUCAACUUGAAUUGUACCUUCCAGAAUUCCCACAGGACCCAGGGGGAGGUAAUUGAAUCAAGGGGGCUGGUCUUUCCCAUGCUAUUCUUGUGAUAGUGAAUAAGUCUCACGAGAUCUGAUGGUUUUAUCAGGGGUUUCUGCUUUUGCUGCUUCUUCAUUUUUCUCUUGCUGCUGCCGUGUAAGAAAUGCCUUUCACCUCCUGCCAUGAUUCUGAGGCCUCCCCAGCCAGGUGGAACUAUAAGUCCAAUUAAACCUCUUUUUGUUCCCAGUCUCAGGUAUGUCUUUAUCAGCAGCAUGAAAAUGGACUAAUAGUACCAGUAGAGUGGGGCAUUGCUGAAAAGAUACCCGAAAAUGUGGAAGCAACUUUGGAACUGGGUGUUGAAAUAAUCUGGAGGGCUCAGAAGAAGAUAGGAAAAUGUAGGAAAGUUUGGAACCUCCUAGAGACUGUGAAUGGCAUUGACAAAAAUACUGAUAGUGAUAUGAACAAUAAGGUCCAGGCUGAGGUGGUCUCAGAUGGAGAUGAAGACCUUGUUGGGAACUGAAGUAAAGGUGACCCUUGUUAUGUUUUAGCAAGGAGACUGGCAGCAUUUCACCCUUGCCCUAGAGAUUUGUGGAACUUAGAGCUUGAGAGAGAUGACUUAGGGUAUCUGGUGGAAUAAAUUUCUAAGCAGCAAAGCAUUCAAAAGGUGACUUGGGUGCUGUUAAAAACAUUCUGUUUUAAAAGGGAAACAAGAGCAUAAAUGUGGAAAAUCUGCAGCCUGAUGAUGCAGUAGAAAAGAAAAACCCAUUUUUUUUAAGGAGAAAUUCAAGCUGGCUGCAGAAAUUUGCAUAAGCAGCAAGGAGCCUAAUGUUAAUCCCCAAGACCAUGGGGAAAAUGUCUCCAGGUCAUGUCAGAGACCUUCAUGGCAGCCCCUCCCAUCACAGGCCCAGAGGCCCAGGAGGAAAAAGUGGUUUUGUGGGCUGGGCCCAGGGUCUCUGUGCUGUGUGCAGCCUAGGGACUUGGUGCCCUGUGUCCCAGCUGCUCCAGCCAUGGCUGAAAGGAGCCAACAUAGAGCUUGGGCUGUGGCUUCAGAGGGUAGAGGCCCCAAGCAUUGGCAGCUUCCAUGUGAUGUUGAGCCUGUGGGUGCAGAGAUGUCAAGAAUUGAGAUUUGGGAACCUCUGCCUAGAUUUCAGAAUAUAUAUGGAAACACCUGGAUGUCCAGGCAAAAGUUUGCUGCAGGGGCAGAGCCCUCAUGGGGAACCUCUCCUAGGGCAGUGUGGAAGGGAAAUGUGGGGCAGAGCCCCCACACAGAGUCCCUGUUGGGGCACUGCCUAGUGGAGCUGUGAGAAGAAGGCCACAGUCCCAGAACGGUAGACCCCAGAAUGGUAGACCCCAGAAUGGUAGAUCAACCACCAACUUGCAUCUUGUGCCUGGAAAAGCUACAGACACUCAACAUCAGCCUGAGAAAGCAGCCAGGAGGGAGGCUGUACUCUGCAAAGCCACAGGGGCGGAGCUGCACAAGACCAUGGGAACCUAUCUCUUGCAUCAGCAUGACCUGAAUGUGAGACAUGGAGUCAAAGGAGAUCAUUAUGGAGCUUUAAAAUUUGACUGCCCCACUGGAUUUCAGACUUGCAUGGACCCUGUAACCCCUUUGUUUUGGCCAAUUUCUCUCAUUUGGAACAGCUGUAUUUACCCAAUACCUGUACCCCCCAUUGUAUCUAGGAGGUAACUAGCUUGCUUUUACAGGCUUGUAAGUGGAAGGGACUUGCCUUGUCUCAGAUGAGACUUUGGACUGUGGACUUUUGGGUUAAUGCUGAAAUGAGUUAAGACUUUGGGGAACUGUUGGGAAGGAAUGAUUGGUUUUGAAAUGUGAGGAUUAUGAAAUUUGGAGGAGCCCAGGGAGGAAUGAUAUGGUUUGGCUGUGUCCCCACCCAAAUCUCAACUUGAAUUGUAUCUCCCAGAAUUCCCACAUGUUGUGGGAGGGACGCAGUGGGAGGUAAUUGAAUCAUGGAGGCCAGUCUUUUCUGUGCUAUUCUCGUGAUAAUAAGUCCCACAAGAUCUGGUGGGUUUAUGAAGAGUUUCUGCUUUUGCUUCUUCCUCAUUUUGCUCUUGAUGCCACCACGUAAGAAGUACCUUUUGCCUCCCACCUGAUUUUGAGGCCUCCCCAGCCAUGUGGAACUGUAAGUCCAAUUAAACCCUUUUUGUUUCCAGUCUCAGAUAUGUCUUUAUCAGCAGCAUGGAAACGAACUAAUACAAUCAUAGUUUUUAAAAACCAAUCUAAAUGUAACUAUUGAACAUGAUUAGCUGUUUCAUCCCUAGUAGAGUGACAGAAGGAAACAUCCAUAGACAGGAGUAAUAAGAAACCAGCUAAACUUCUAAACCAUUUUUAAAGGAUGCGUGUGAGCUGGCAUAACCUACCUACUCUUUCCUAUGGGCCUCUACUGAGAGCAUGGAGGUAAUACAUCUAAUACACUGAAGACCAGGGCAAGAGAGCUGGAAGAAAUCCCUCUUAAGCACUCCAGGCCUUCACUGAGUAUGAGGUGCUGGUCUCCAAAGGCAGAGGGCAAGGCAAGGCAGAGAGGGAUCUCCUGGGGCACAGACAACUGACAAAAGAAACACUUGGAUUGUUGUAUAAGAGGAGUGAGCUUUGUAAAUACCACGUUAGCUGGCCUGCUGUGGAACAGAAUGCCUGUGAAUGACAGUAGUCAGGUAGUGGAUGAACACUGAUCUGAGAGCCUGUAAAAGAAACUCUUUGGAAUGAUAAUGUCAUCUAGACCUUUGAUACGCAAAGUGUGAUUCCUGGACAGAUGUAUUGGCUUUACCUGGCAGCUUGUUGGAAAUGUAAAACCUCAGGCCUCACCCCAGACCUACUGAAUUAUUUAUAUUAAUUAAAAUUAAAUAAUUUUUAUUUCAACAAAAUCCCUGGGUAAUUUGUAUGUACAUUAAAUUUUGAGAUGCAUGAUCUUUUAAGGUUCAUUCUAAUCCUUAAAAUUCUGUUUUAAUAAUGUGUACAAUGAAGUGCUGCAUGGCAAACUACACAGAAACUAAAGGCAUGUUCCAAAAAGGAAAAGUUCCAUGUGGCUAGGGGAAUAAAAGCUUCAUCAGGGAACCAGGAGUUGGGCUGGUUCUUAAAACCUGGAGAAAGAAGAUGGUUACAUCAAGAGAUAAAUAGAGUGAAGCAGAACUAGUGGUGCGGACCAGCUCGCCAGCAACAGAAGGGUUUGUAGUCGGCCUGGCAGUGGACAGGGAGGUUGGCUAGAACUAUUACCUUAGGUCCGUGAUAAUAUCCCUGAAUCCAACUUUUCAGAAAGAAAUAGGUAACAUAUUUUUCACCAGGAAGCUUCACCCAGACACUGAACAGAAUGGUCUCAGUGCACUAAUGGAGGCUCAGUUAAAGGGUUGUGGUAGCACAAGGAAGAGACAUUCUGACUUGGAAAUUUGGAGAAGGCUUCACAAAUGAAGGGGCAUUUGAAAUGAGCUUUGAAGGUGCAAGAGUAUUCCAAGUUGAGAAGACAACCUGAGUGGUGUUGGGUGAACAGUCAUUCUACCUGGCUGUAGUGUAGUAUAGUGUAGUGUAGUGUAGGAAACAUCAGAGGAGUGGAGUGGGAUAUGAGCCUGGAGAGAGCUGGCGGCCAUGGAUCAUUGAAAGCCUUGAAUGUCUGAUGGGGAGGUUGACUUUAUUUUGUAGGCAAUGGAAAGCCACCAGUGGUUUUAGUUGAGCAGCAAUGAAAUUAAGCCUGUGCUUUGCAAAGAUUAAUCUAGCAGCAACAGAUUGGAAGCAACACCACCAUUCCUGGUAUCAGUCCAGGUAAAAUAUAUUACAGCUCUUUACUGGAGCAAUAACAGUAAUAUUAGAAGGAGAAAUAAAAAAGAAAAAUAUUGCACAGGCAGAAUGGGGAGGUCCCAGUGAUGGAGCUGAUCUUGGUUCAUUGAGGCAGGGGUGGCAUUAAUCAUGUAAAACACAGGAGGAGGAACUGGGUUAGGAGUAAUGGUAGAGUUCAGUUUAGGUAAUUGCAAAUACACACUAUUCCCUGACUAGCUCCCAAGACUUUUUCUUCCCUCUCUUCUUAGAACUUCAUUAGAAGAGGUGAUGUUAUUUCUUAGAUGAGAGUAUCUUACUUACCAUUGACUAAUACAUG
RNAcentral lists this long non-coding RNA (5112 nucleotides) under Homo sapiens (human). Its description in RNAcentral is "ENTPD1 antisense RNA 1". The record is from RNAcentral. Lineage: Eukaryota; Metazoa; Chordata; Mammalia; Primates; Hominidae.